This 253-nucleotide ribosomal RNA is filed under the name uncultured bacterium. Its description in RNAcentral is "partial 16S ribosomal RNA". It matches the Rfam family "Bacterial small subunit ribosomal RNA", at positions 524 to 776 of the family's 1533-position model. The record is from RNAcentral.
UACGUAGGUGGCAAGCGUUGUCCGGAUUUAUUGGGUUUAAAGGGUGCGUAGGCGGCCCUGUAAGUCAGUGCUGAAAUAUCCCGGCUUAACCGGGAGGGUGGCAUUGAUACUGCAGGGCUUGAGUACAGAUGAAGUAGGCGGAAUUGACGGUGUAGCGGUGAAAUGCAUAGAUAUCGUCAAGAACACCGAUAGCGAAGGCAGCUUACUAAGCUGUAACUGACGCUGAGGAGCGAAAGCGUGGGGAGCGAACAGG